Molecule: microRNA precursor, 184 nt
Filed under: Pelobates cultripes (western spadefoot toad)
Lineage: Eukaryota; Metazoa; Chordata; Amphibia; Anura; Pelobatidae
Source: RNAcentral
CAGUAAAAACCAAAGGUAAAAAAGUUACCUGCACUCUCUCCCAAAUCCCUAUGUAUAUUUAAACAAAUGGAGGUUAUUUAGUUAUUCCAAUGGCCAUUGGAAUAACUAAAUAGCCUCAAGUUGUUAAAAUAUACAUAGGGAUUUGGGAGAGAGUGCAGGUAACUUUUUUACCUUUGGUUUUUAC